RNAcentral lists this ribosomal RNA (440 nucleotides) under uncultured bacterium. RNAcentral's name for it is "bacterial SSU rRNA". It matches the Rfam family "Bacterial small subunit ribosomal RNA", at positions 28 to 451 of the family's 1533-position model. The record is from RNAcentral.
GAUGAACGCUGGCGGCGUGCUUAACACAUGCAAGUCGAACGGGAAACAUUUCAUUGAGGCUUCGGCGGAUUUGAUCUGUUUCUAGUGGCGGACGGGUGAGUAACGCGUGGGUAACCUGCCUUAUACUGGGGGAUAACAGCCAGAAAUGACUGCUAAUACCGCAUAAGCGCACAGAACCGCAUGGUUCCGUGUGAAAAACUCCGGUGGUAUAAGAUGGACCCGCGUUGGAUUAGCUAGUUGGCAGGGCAGCGGCCUACCAAGGCGACGAUCCAUAGCCGGCCUGAGAGGGUGAACGGCCACAUUGGGACUGAGACACGGCCCAGACUCCUACGGGAGGCAGCAGUGGGGAAUAUUGCACAAUGGGGGAAACCCUGAUGCAGCGACGCCGCGUGAAGGAAGAAGUAUCUCGGUAUGUAAACUUCUAUCAGCAGGGAAGAUAA